This 468-nucleotide ribosomal RNA is filed under the name uncultured bacterium. Its description in RNAcentral is "partial 16S ribosomal RNA". It matches the Rfam family "Bacterial small subunit ribosomal RNA", at positions 28 to 507 of the family's 1533-position model. The record is from RNAcentral.
GACGAACGCUGGCGGCGUGCUUAACACAUGCAAGUCGAACGGAAAGGCCCUGCUUUUUUGGGGUUCUCGAGUGGCUAACGGGUGAGUAACACGUGAGUGACCUGCCCUUGACUUUGGGAUAACUUCAGGAAACUGGGGCUAAUACCAGAUCGUAGCUUCUCCUGCAUGGUGGGGGUUGGAAACUUUCGGCGGGUUGGGAUGGACUCGCGGCUUAUCAUCUUGCUUGUGGGGUAGUGGUUUACCAAGGCUUUGCCGGGUCGCCGGCCUGGGAGGGUGACCGGCGACCAUGGGACUGAGGUAGGCACCAGACUGCUACAGUGGGCAGAAGUGGGGAGUAUUGCGCAGUGGGCGGAAGCGUGAGGAAGCAACGUCGCGUGCGGGAUGAACGCCUAGGGGUGGGAAACGGAGUAAGGCUGAUACGAAGCGUGAGUGACGGUAAUCGGUAAAGAAGCACCGGCUAACUACGUG